Molecule: long non-coding RNA, 1162 nt
Organism: Pteronotus mesoamericanus
Lineage: Eukaryota; Metazoa; Chordata; Mammalia; Chiroptera; Mormoopidae
Exons: 6
Source: RefSeq, a predicted model, not a curated record
GCAGAGCUGGUGGAGGGCGCAGCGUUAGCUUGCCGGUGUUGUCCAGAGUGGUCCGAACCUUCUGGCACCGUCCUCUUUGAUGGCGCCGCCACUGGCCUUGGUGUCCGGGUCUUGCGACUCUGUGGCUUUUGAAGACAGAUGGCAACUCUCCCUUGGACGGCCUUGGAGCUCUGCUGCAGCCAGCACCCCUUCUCUCCUGCCAACCAGGAUCCCACUGUCUGAUGCCCCCCCAGUGUACCCAGAGGGUGAGGUGGCCCCCAGAGAGAAGGGAAGAAGAAAGAAGGGAAGGAAACGUCGAUGUGAGAGAGAAGCAUCGAUCAGUUGCCUUUUGCAUAUGCCCCAAUUGGGGAUCGAAUCCACAACCUUUCCAUUUAUAGGAUGAUGCCCAAUUGAGCCACGUGGACCAGGGCUUGAGAGGAAGCAGCUCGAUGCAGAGGGGGCUGUGAGAGGUGUCCCCAUCCUGGCAGGAAGCGACUGGACCACGAUGCCCCGAAGAUGAGAUAAGUUCACUGUGUGCAGAGGCGUCAGGGGAGUUGUCAUGUCAGAAACGUUCUAGACCCCAUUGUCCUCGAGGGGCGCUGCCUUGGACCUGGAGAGUGUGGGAGGAAGCCCCCAGGGGAGGCAGGCCCUGACCCUCAACAUGCUGACCUGGGUCAUAGCUUCCCUGGAGGGGCCUCCACGGUGAGUUAAAGCCAAGGGGUUGUGCCGGCCUGUGUUUCAGAGGUGGAAGUUCCAAGCUGCUGGCCUCAGUUGACUUUGUGCUUUAGAUUAGUUUGGGGGUUGAGCCUGGACAGUGGCAGAGCGGAGUGAAGAGUGUUGUCGUCAUGUGACGCAUUGCUGGACCUUCUUACCCCGUUACCCCAGCAUGACAUCAGAGGACUUUUCGCUCUGAGUGACCUGGGCAGAGGGAGAGCCCUGGGACUCUGGGGACUUGGGGCUAAUGUUCAGCAUUGGAGACCUUCCACUGGCUCUGCCCCUCCCCAGCAGGUGCUAUAGAGCGCCGUGGACCAGGACUGCUGGUUUCCUUCUGCCUGGGCCAGGUCACCCCAGUUCCCUGUGUCCCCCUACCUACUGCUCGUGUAACUUUUUAGAACCAAAGGUUCCUUUUGAAGUUUUCUGUGCUGUGCAUCAUUGUCCUCUCGCCUACCUCAAUAAACCUUGA